GCAGUCGAGCGGUACACAGAGAGCUUGCUCUCGGGUGACGAGCGGCGGACGGGUGAGUAAUGUCUGGGAAACUGCCUGAUGGAGGGGGAUAACUACUGGAAACGGUAGCUAAUACCGCAUAACGUCGCAAGACCAAAGUGGGGGACCUUUCGGGCCCUCAUGCCAUCAGAUGGUGCCCCAGAUGGGGAUUUAGCUAGUAGGGGGGGGUUAAUGGCUCACCUAGGGCGACGAUCCCUAGCUGGUCUAAAAAGGAUGAACCACCCCCCCCUGGAAACUGAAACACGGCCCCAAACUCCUACGGGGAGGCACCAGGGGGGAAAAUUUCCCCAAUGGGGCGCAGCCUGAUGCACCCUUCCCCCCGUUUUAAAAAAGGCCUUCGGGUUUGAAAGAAUUUUCCCGGGGGGGAAAGGG
RNAcentral lists this ribosomal RNA (411 nucleotides) under Klebsiella sp. OPC3. Its description in RNAcentral is "Raoultella sp. OPC3 partial 16S ribosomal RNA". It matches the Rfam family "Bacterial small subunit ribosomal RNA", at positions 58 to 453 of the family's 1533-position model. Lineage: Bacteria; Pseudomonadati; Pseudomonadota; Gammaproteobacteria; Enterobacterales; Enterobacteriaceae. The record is from RNAcentral.